Molecule: long non-coding RNA, 573 nt
Filed under: Calidris pugnax (ruff)
Lineage: Eukaryota; Metazoa; Chordata; Aves; Charadriiformes; Scolopacidae
Description: lncRNA (ENSCPUG00000002020.1)
Source: RNAcentral
UGGAGCACUUUGACCAUAAGGGAUGUGCGUGGGAUGGGCCUGAGUAGCAUCAGCCUCGGUGGAAACAUGGCUAUUUCAAGAUGCAGGAUGAGCCAGGCACCAGUUAGAGCCCCUGGGGUGCUAUAAAGGAUGAACAAAAAAUCGUCUCAGUGGAUUUGACUCGAUGCAGAGAAUUGCAUUUUGAAAGUUAAACAUCCUUUGAGGUGGAUGCAGUAGCAACACCCGAGCACAGAUUUAAUCAGGGUACCACUGGCAGCCCCGACGCAGACUGAGUCCCAGUUCAAAAACCCACGCGACUCCGCACAGAGCACCCCAGUUCGAACGCGUGGACAUCCUCUGGUUUACCUCCAGACCAGAAAAAGCAGUGCCUAUCAUUUCUCCCUGCCGUGGGAGAGGCUGCAAACAGCCUUUGCACAGCCAGAGUGCUUGGUGAGUCCUCUCUGGACAUGGGUCCUGUGGCUCUCAGCGUGGGGGUGCCACCACGGGGGUGGGUCUGGAAGCCUGGCUCCCCACUGCACUGAUUUACCACCACCCUGCUCUCAAAUGCACCCAGGCGCCUGUGGGAGAGGGGAG